This 78-nucleotide transfer RNA is filed under the name Candidatus Poseidoniales archaeon. RNAcentral describes it as "Marine Group II euryarchaeote tRNA-Glu". It matches the Rfam family "tRNA". Rfam says of the family: Transfer RNA (tRNA) molecules are approximately 80 nucleotides in length. Their secondary structure includes four short double-helical elements and three loops (D, anti-codon, and T loops). Lineage: Archaea; Methanobacteriati; Thermoplasmatota; Candidatus Poseidoniia; Candidatus Poseidoniales. The record is from RNAcentral.
GCUCGCGUGGUGUAGUCAGGUCCAUCAUUACGGGUUUUCAUCCCGUCGACCCGGGUUCGAAUCCCGGCGCGAGCACCA